GACACGGCUUCUGGCACCUUCCAAUUGCCAUCAUCUUGAAUCGGUGCUGGGAUGGCUCUUGUUCGAAAAUUAUAAAGCAAAGAAUCAUGCCACUCUGAUGCGAUUCAAGGAAAAAGAAAAACAUGUGUGAUCUUUUCAUAACGAUACUCGAGGGAAGAAAGAAGGAAAGUUGGACCUCUUAGGGGUGUUUUCUUAUCGAACAUUAAAGUUUUAUUGUCUAAGCGUCCCCGGUCAUCUUUGCAUGUCCGAGGGUUAGAUGGUAAACUUUAUUGAACGAAAGGAACUCCUAGCAGCAGCUUUUGUAUUCUGAUACAAUUCGUUAUACGAGAAAGUAUCUUGUGACAAAAAAAAAAAAAAAAAAAAACACCCGCGUUAUUUUGGCAAGUGUGUGUACUGUGAUUUUUAUUUUUUUUGACAGACUUGUAAUGUGUUUUUUUGAAUAUUACAAAGAUGGUUAGAUGAACCGUGCUUUUUUAAAUAUGAAAUAGUCAUUACAUUCACUA
This is a long non-coding RNA of Daucus carota subsp. sativus, 503 nucleotides long. RefSeq lists it as uncharacterized. NCBI's taxonomy places the organism in Eukaryota, Viridiplantae, Streptophyta, Magnoliopsida, Apiales, Apiaceae. The record is from RefSeq and is a predicted model, not a curated record. The transcript is spliced from 2 exons.